Molecule: unclassified non-coding RNA, 3291 nt
Filed under: Melitaea cinxia (Glanville fritillary)
Lineage: Eukaryota; Metazoa; Arthropoda; Insecta; Lepidoptera; Nymphalidae
Description: misc RNA ENSMCXG00005019836.1
Source: RNAcentral
GGGUACCGCAACGGGUAAUUUCUGUAACGCUCAUGUUUGACCGUAUUUAUUUAGAAAGUUUUUUCAUUGUUUAUUUGAAAAUGGCUAUAUUUAUGAAAAAAAAUAUAUGUCUUUGGAAUAAAAAAAACUUUUACAAAAAUCGGAUAAGCCAUUUUCCGAAAAAUCAAACUUAUAUACCAAUAUACGGCUUGAGUCGAUUCAGUUGCACGCGAGUGUAGUUGGAAAAGCCUAUAUAAAAUGCCAAACUGGAGAAAUUACUGCAAAAAGCCAAGUCGAUUUUAUGACCGCUGCAUAAGAUUUUGAAGCGGAUUAAAAGUCUAAAUAUAUUUCAACGACAGUUGCCUCCCACACGGAUAUUCCUCUGUAAUUGGAGAAUCGUGAUACUUGUUACUCCUGAUAUUUCUUCUGUGAAGAAAUCUCUCGUAGUAAGAAAGAGAAUAGGCAAUACAGGCUGUAAUAUCGGCAAUAAUUUCAAGUUCUUCUCAUAAAAAGGACCUUGAUAAUGAUCAAGUUAAAAAUCAAAUAAAGAAAACAGCGAAAAAAACGUAUAAAAAAACAAGAAGAAAAUAACAAACAAGACAAACAAGAAAGAUAUGAUCGACAGUGACUCUUCAGACUCGGAUCCUGGUUCUAUAUCUGGUAGUAAUACAGACUCGUCCGACGAAUUUGCAACGACAAAUGAGUGUGAGAUUGUUUUUUUCUGUAAUUAAAAAUAUAACGAGGAUAAAGGUGUGAAGAAUGAAUACAGGGCUUAAUGUGCGAAUUGUGGGUUCACGGUGCUUGUGGUGGUUCAUUCCGGUUCAUACAUCCGUAUCAUUUUUGCCAAGCAAUCGAAAAAAGAACCCACUACUAAUGUUCAACAACUACACGUAUAAAAAACAGUGGGAGUGUACUUCGGGAAAGGUCAUCUGGUACUGUUCGAAGCGGAAAAGAGGAUGUAAAGCAUUUGUUCACAGCAGAGAUGGGAUAUUUACACCUGGCGAUCUGAUACACACGCAUCCAGCUCCACCAUACAUGAGAGGCAAUGAUGGGUCAUGGGUAAAGUUAUAGAGAAAUACACCAAAAGUCAAUAACUAAUAAUAAACGCCUAUAAUAAACACGUCACAAUCACUGAUUUAGAAAAUAUUCCCAAAAAUAAUAAAAAUCCAAAUUUUACCUUUGACACGCUAAGUCACUCUUUCAGGAAACUCGCUAGGUUCUCUAGGUCGCUAGGUCACUAAUUAUAUUUGCUCGCAAGCGAAAAAAAGACCAACUUCAAUUUAAUACGUAGGGAAAAACUCUUUUUGUAUUUUACAUUUCAAAAAUGAAAUUUCUCUCUCAGUUUCUCGCCCCUUUUCUUUUGUUUUUCUUUCCGCAAAAAUGGGUAAAUCCAACGAAGAAAUUCGAUAUAUUUUAGUUUUACUUUAAAAAUGGAAAAAAACAGCUCAAGCCGCAAAAAAAUUGUGACAUUUACGAAUCUAAUGCAGUGUCAGUAAGAGCUACACAAAAUUUAUUUAAGCGUAUUCAGUCAGGAAAUCUUGAUGUCAAAGAUGCAUUUUGUUUACUUUUCUUCGAUCUAAUACAUCGUACAAGUAACAAAAUGCAGGUCAUCGAAAAAAAUAGUCAAAUCAGCAUUGUAAGUCAUAACUCAAAAAGCACUCGUCAGAUCAUGAUCAGACUCAAAUGGGACCACACGACAAGCAUCAGAUUUCGAUUAAAAAAGGAAUCAUCAAAAUCACCCAGUAAAAGUUAUGAGAUAACCUACAUAAAAAAUAAAGUUGAAUUAAGAAACUUGCUUUUUUUGAAGUCGGCCAAAAUAUUUAAUAAACCAAAUUAUGGUUGGCAACAUUAGUAUAAGGUUCUAUAGUUCAUUUAUCACUUUGGUUACCUACUUUGUUAAACUGUUUCAAUUACAAAAUUUUAAGUUGACAGAGAUUUAUGUAAAUAUUAAUGAAUUUUAAGAAACAAAAAAGUAUUUUUUAUUAUCUAAAUGAAAUAUAUUUAGAGACGAUAGGUGUAAUUAGUACCUAUUAAAAAUUUCCUAGGAUAAUAAGACGAUGGGAUAAUAAAGAUUCAAAGCGAAAAUAUAUUUGUUUUAUUGGUAUUUAAGAUUGUAUAUUUAACGUUCCUGGCCAGGCUUUAGGAAAUGUUCUGAAUAUAACCUAAUAAAACGUAUUUUCUUGCAGCAUUUUUUAGAACGUCAAGCCGUGGCACAAGGCAGCUUGUUGUGGAUGGAUAUUCUUUCAUCUGCAGAAGUUACUGCUUGAACCACAUUAAAAAGAUUUGGAAAUGUGCUUCAAACGCCGACUGUACCGCCAAAGUACACACAAUCCAAGAUGAAAUUGUGUCUCUGAACAACGAUCAUAAUCACCCGUCGAACGCGCUCACCGCACUCGAGUGGAAACUGACUCGGCAGAUCCAUUUAGUUAAUUAAUUUAACUAUUAUGUGUAAAUUGUUAUUAGUAUAUCGUCCUUAAUUUAUUGGGUUUAAGGAUUGGAAAGAUAAAAUGAUUAUAUUUUAAUGGGUUUGACUCUCAUAAUUAAAAUGGUGAAUUAAGAAUUAAAAAAAAAAUUAAAAUAGCUGUUUCGAAAAAUUCUAACAGUCAUAUAAUAUGACUUUGACGUGACAUCAUUGUGUUAGCAAAACAGUCACACAUACAUUACACAAAAUGCGUUUUUAAAUUAAGUUGAUCUAUACCUACAAAAGUUAUGUAUGUACGUGCAUAACUUACGAACGACUGCACCAAAUCGCAUAUCUUUUUAACGUCUGUAUUAUCAGGGCACAGAUAAAAUAAAAGAAAAUAUUAAAAAAAAAAAAACUUGAUAUAUUCAAGAAAUAAAACAUUUGACGGUACUAAAUUCAACUGCUUUACUAUAAUAUAAGAAUUAACUUAGACGUAACAUUACCUCAAGAAGGACUCAAGGCUAAAUAGGAAAUGUUAUAACUCUGUACCUCUCAAAAGAGAGCGAAAGUCCAAAUUGUAGUCGAAUAAGCCUUAUAAUAAGGAAUUAAUUGUAAUAUUAUCGUAGGUUUAGUGUUACUGUUAAAGUUUAAGACAUAUUUCGAAAAGACACAAAAGCCACAUAAUUAUAAUAUUAUUAAGUUAUAUUUUUAUUAUUUUAAAUAUUAAUUAACGGUUGGCACUGUUUAUAAUGUUACUUUGCUUUUGGCAAUUUUAUAUACAGAUGUAAUUAUUUUUAUGCGUUUUUAGGAUAUAAGUUUUAUUAUUUUGCAAACCAUCAAAUGCACGAUUUUAUAUUUACACAAAAUUUCAUAUUAGCACUUUGCUAUUAAAUUACCUUGUAUAUAAA